UACGGAGGAUCCGAGCGUUAUCCGGAUUUAUUGGGUUUAAAGGGUGCGCAGGCGUGAGAUUAAGUCGGCGGUGAAAUUUUGCAGCUCAACUGUAAAAGUGCCUUCGAAACUGGCUUCCUUGAGUGUAGAUGAAGUAGGCGGAAUUUGUGGUGUAGCGGUGAAAUGCAUAGAUAUCACGAGGAACUCCGAUUGCGCAGGCAGCUUACUAAACCAUAACUGACGCUCAGGCACGAAGGCGUGGGGAUCAAACAGGAUUAGAUACCCGU
RNAcentral lists this ribosomal RNA (266 nucleotides) under uncultured prokaryote. RNAcentral's name for it is "partial 16S ribosomal RNA". It matches the Rfam family "Bacterial small subunit ribosomal RNA", at positions 524 to 789 of the family's 1533-position model. The record is from RNAcentral.